GGCAGUAGCUCAGUUGGGUAGAGCAACGGGCUGAUAACCCGUGGGUCGCGGGUUCGAAUCCCGCCUAGUCGCCU
This 74-nucleotide transfer RNA is filed under the name Acidobacteriota bacterium. Its description in RNAcentral is "Acidobacteria bacterium (marine sediment metagenome) tRNA-Ile". The stretch from base 4 to 66 matches the Rfam family "tRNA", at positions 6 to 65 of the family's 71-position model. From Rfam's summary of the family: Transfer RNA (tRNA) molecules are approximately 80 nucleotides in length. Their secondary structure includes four short double-helical elements and three loops (D, anti-codon, and T loops). RNAcentral also lists the same sequence under 1 other name. Lineage: Bacteria; Pseudomonadati; Acidobacteriota. The record is from RNAcentral.